Molecule: transfer RNA, 72 nt
Filed under: Ignavibacteriales bacterium CG07_land_8_20_14_0_80_59_12
Lineage: Bacteria; Pseudomonadati; Ignavibacteriota; Ignavibacteria; Ignavibacteriales
Description: tRNA-Thr
Rfam family: tRNA
About the family: Transfer RNA (tRNA) molecules are approximately 80 nucleotides in length. Their secondary structure includes four short double-helical elements and three loops (D, anti-codon, and T loops). Further hydrogen bonds mediate the characteristic L-shaped molecular structure. tRNAs have two regions of fundamental functional importance: the anti-codon, which is responsible for specific mRNA codon recognition, and the 3' end, to which the tRNAs corresponding amino acid is attached (by aminoacyl-tRNA synthetases). tRNAs cope with the degeneracy of the genetic code in two manners: having more than one tRNA (with a specific anti-codon) for a particular amino acid; and 'wobble' base-pairing, i.e. permitting non-standard base-pairing at the 3rd anti-codon position.
Source: RNAcentral
GCCAUCGUAGCUCAGUGGUAGAGCAAUCGCCUCGUAAGCGAUAGGUCGUGGGUUCAACUCCCACCGAUGGCU